RNAcentral lists this transfer RNA (72 nucleotides) under Bos taurus (domestic cattle). It matches the Rfam family "tRNA". From Rfam's summary of the family: Transfer RNA (tRNA) molecules are approximately 80 nucleotides in length. Their secondary structure includes four short double-helical elements and three loops (D, anti-codon, and T loops). Further hydrogen bonds mediate the characteristic L-shaped molecular structure. tRNAs have two regions of fundamental functional importance: the anti-codon, which is responsible for specific mRNA codon recognition, and the 3' end, to which the tRNAs corresponding amino acid is attached (by aminoacyl-tRNA synthetases). tRNAs cope with the degeneracy of the genetic code in two manners: having more than one tRNA (with a specific anti-codon) for a particular amino acid; and 'wobble' base-pairing, i.e. permitting non-standard base-pairing at the 3rd anti-codon position. Lineage: Eukaryota; Metazoa; Chordata; Mammalia; Artiodactyla; Bovidae. RNAcentral also lists the same sequence under 4 other names. The record is from Rfam by way of RNAcentral.
UCCCUGGUAGUCCAGUGAUUAGGACUCGGUGCUUUCACUGCUGUGACUCAGGUUCAAUCCCUGGCUGGGGAA